Pantherophis guttatus is the source of this 385-nucleotide long non-coding RNA. RefSeq lists it as uncharacterized. The record is from RefSeq and is a predicted model, not a curated record. Lineage: Eukaryota; Metazoa; Chordata; Lepidosauria; Squamata; Colubridae.
GGUUGAGUGGCCAGAAGUCAUGGGACCAAGUUGUAGCUCUUUGUUCAGCUGCCUUUGGCAGGCACACGUGAAUUUUUACAGCAACCAGGUGGAAUUUCAAGGUGUGACAUGCUAUUCAACUCAAGGGCCUAUGUUGUUGGCAGUCUAGAGUGGAUGAAUCAGCCCAGUAUCUCCUGGCUAUGUAUUCUCAGAUGGAGAUAAAGUUGGGGAACAUGUUUGCCCAAUUGUAGAUAAACUAAUGGCUGCUGGCUAAUGGAUCCUGAGCUAAUUAGUUUAGGCAAUGGUUAUCGAUGCCAUGGCUACAUUCUCCCUCAACUACUGCAGCAUACGGUGUGUACAACUAUUGUUGAAAAGCAUCUGGAAAUAAAAACUGGUGUUAAAUUCA